This 478-nucleotide ribosomal RNA is filed under the name uncultured bacterium. RNAcentral's name for it is "SSU rRNA". It matches the Rfam family "Bacterial small subunit ribosomal RNA", at positions 26 to 518 of the family's 1533-position model. The record is from RNAcentral.
AGGACGAACGCUGGCGGCGUGCUUCAUACAUGCAAGUCGAGCGGAAAGGCCCUUCGGGGUACUCGAGCGGCGAACGGGUGAGUAACACGUGAGCAACCUACCCCUGGCUCUGGGAUAACUCCUCGAAAGAGGUGCUAAUACCGGAUACGACUUCCUUCGACAUCGUCGGAAGUGGAAAGUUUUUCGGCCAGGGAUGGGCUCGCGGCCUAUCAGCUUGUUGGUGAGGGUAACGGCCCACCAAGGCUUCGACGGGUAGCCGGCCUGAGAGGGCGAGUCGGACCGACGACUGGGACUGAGACACGGCCCAGACUCCUACGGGAGGCAGCAGUAGGGAAUAUUGCGCAAUGGGCGAAAGCCUGACGCAGCAACGCCGCGUGAGGGAUGAAGGCCUUAGGGUCGUAAACCUCUUUCGGCAGGGACGAAGCGAAAGUGACGGUACCUGCAAAAGAGCACCGGCCAACUACGUGCCAGCAGCCGC